UCCAGAGAUUUGUUAAACACCCACUUUCCAGUAUUAACAGUGCACUCUUCAGGGUCGAACUCGAAUCUAUCAUCCAAUUCGAAGCUUUUAAGAUUAUCCCCUGCAGUUCUAUCCUCUGUUGGACAAUGGCAUUCGCAGAUUUAAGCUUAAAAAAGGACCUGGAAGUCUCAGCAUACAAGAGAGCAAGAAAAGCAAAACCACAAAUCACGAUAGUGAUGAUAGAAACGGGUAGCUUUCCUCUUGGAGGCUUCAUUGUAGCAGAUGGAGAGGGAGCUAAGCUCAUUGUUGGAGCCUCGAAGAAAGAAAUUAUCGUAACGGUGGGAUAAUUAAAGCAUAUGAUCACUAGAUCAAGCAAACAGAAUGAUGAAGGGGUUAUUUUUAUGGCUGGUUUGAGUAGGAGUAAAGCUAAAGCCAAUAUGGGUCUUUUAAAGUAUGUAAUGGAGGUUAGGAAGUAAGUUGGAAAGCAUACAUCUUGGACUUCUUCUGUCUUCUCAAUUAAUGGAAGCUAAAUCUCUCCCUAGCCGCUGUGCCAACUACAGCUAUCAUAUAUGCCAUUUAUUUAUAAUUUGUUCAGUAGGUAGGAAAAGUUUUCUUGUUGCACAAGUGUUAAUUUUUUUGCAAUUUUGCGUACUUCUUCCUUCCCUUUUGACUUCUGUUCAGCCGUUCAGGUAUCAUUUCACAGAACAUUUUCCAUGCUUGAUAUUAACAUUUUAUUUUUCUGGUCCAUGUAGCUCAGUAUAUCCUCUGUAUAGCAGCAGAGAUAUAUCAAAUUUUUCAUAGCUCUGUGGCCAUUGUUGAGAA
This is a long non-coding RNA of Hevea brasiliensis (rubber tree), 801 nucleotides long. RefSeq lists it as uncharacterized. The record is from RefSeq and is a predicted model, not a curated record. NCBI's taxonomy places the organism in Eukaryota, Viridiplantae, Streptophyta, Magnoliopsida, Malpighiales, Euphorbiaceae. The transcript has 2 exons.